GGCGUCACAUUGUAUGGACUUAGAGAAAAAUUUUCUACACCCAAUUAUAGAUAAAAUAAAUUAUACUAUGAAUAUUUAAUUAGCAUGGUAUUCUUCUAAUAUUUGUUAUUGACAGGGUGUAUUUGAUAUUAUUGAUUUUAAGGAGGAUCAUGUGCGGCGAGCUGUGGAUGCUCAUUUAUGUUUGUGUUUCAAGGAGUAUCACCAUCACAUUUAUCAGUAUUGGUACCAUGUG
RNAcentral lists this long non-coding RNA (232 nucleotides) under Elaeis guineensis (African oil palm). Its description in RNAcentral is "long non-coding RNA (EGUI_LNC013427)". Lineage: Eukaryota; Viridiplantae; Streptophyta; Magnoliopsida; Arecales; Arecaceae. The record is from RNAcentral.